CCUACGGGUGGCAGCAGUGAGGAAUAUUGGUCAAUGGGCGGGAGCCUGAACCAGCCAAGUCGCGUGAGGGAAGACGGUCCUAUGGAUUGUAAACCUCUUUAGGCGGGGAGCAAUGCCGGGCACGCGUGCCCGGAGGGAGAGUACCCGCAGAAUAAGCAUCGGCUAACUCCGUGCCAGCAGCCGCGGUAAUACGGAGACUGCGAGCGUUAUCCGGAUUUAUUGGGUUUAAAGGGUGCGUAGGCGGAUUGUUAAGUCAGCGGUAAAAUGUCCGGGCUCAACCCGGGCCGGCCGUUGAAACUGGUGAUCUUGAGUGGGCGAGAAGUAUGCGGAAUGCGUGGUGUAGCGGUGAAAUGCAUAGAUAUCACGCAGAACUCCGAUUGCGAAGGCAGCUUACUAAACUGCAACUGACAUUGAUGCUCGAAAGUGUGGGUAUCAAACAGGAUUAGAUACCCCAGUAGUC
RNAcentral lists this ribosomal RNA (460 nucleotides) under uncultured bacterium. Its description in RNAcentral is "partial 16S ribosomal RNA". It matches the Rfam family "Bacterial small subunit ribosomal RNA", at positions 338 to 795 of the family's 1533-position model. The record is from RNAcentral.